RNAcentral lists this ribosomal RNA (409 nucleotides) under uncultured bacterium. RNAcentral's name for it is "bacterial SSU rRNA". It matches the Rfam family "Bacterial small subunit ribosomal RNA", at positions 103 to 507 of the family's 1533-position model. The record is from RNAcentral.
CGGGUGAGUAAUGCAUCGGAACGUGCCCAUCGAUGGGGGAUAACUGCGCGAAAGCGUUGCUAAUACCGCAUACGACCUACGGGUGAAAGCAGGGGACCGCAAGGCCUUGCGUCGAUGGAGCGGCCGAUGCCGGAUUAGCUAGUUGGUGAGGUAAAGGCUCACCAAGGCGACGAUCCGUAGCUGGUCUGAGAGGACGACCCAGCCACACUGGGACUGAGACACGGCCCAGACUCCUACGGGAGGCAGCAGUGGGGAAUCUUGGACAAUGGGCGAAAGCCUGAUCCAGCAAUGCCGCGUGUGGGAAGAAGGCCCUCGGGUUGUAAACCACUUUUGGCGGGAAAGAAAUGGUCUGUGCUAAUACCACGGAUUGAUGACGGUACCCGCAGAAUAAGCACCGGCUAACUACGUG